RNAcentral lists this small RNA (86 nucleotides) under Streptococcus sp. DD10. RNAcentral's name for it is "Cia-dependent small RNA csRNA1". The record is from Rfam by way of RNAcentral. Lineage: Bacteria; Bacillati; Bacillota; Bacilli; Lactobacillales; Streptococcaceae.
UGUGGUUGUCGAAUGACGACCAGGAAAAAUCCUAAACUUUUUCAUAAUAAUCUCCCAUAGAAGUCACCGAAUACGGUGGCUUUUUC